UGCACGUGCACCUGAGAAUUGGUGUGCGUGUCUCUCAGAGGAGUCUUUUCAAAAUAAAAGCAUAACUAAGGGGAAGUUCAUAGACAUUUUCCAACCUGUGAACUUACGAAGUUUGGUUAGCCAAACACUCACAUUGUGAAGACUGUGAAUGGAAUAGAAGCAAACCCAGUUUCAAGCCAACUGAAGCUGUCACGGAAGUUGGACCUAAUGUGUACCCUUGCACUUUUAGCUUACACUUGAUCUCAUUCAUCACUUACAGGAGGGACAACAAGAAGGAAGUGCUGAAGAACACAAUAGGGAUUUGAAAGUUGCUCAGACUGGCAC
Molecule: long non-coding RNA, 324 nt
Filed under: Bos indicus x Bos taurus (hybrid cattle)
Lineage: Eukaryota; Metazoa; Chordata; Mammalia; Artiodactyla; Bovidae
Description: lncRNA (ENSBIXG00005017908.1)
Source: RNAcentral